RNAcentral lists this ribosomal RNA (429 nucleotides) under Gemmatimonadota bacterium. RNAcentral's name for it is "Gemmatimonadetes bacterium partial 16S ribosomal RNA". It matches the Rfam family "Bacterial small subunit ribosomal RNA", at positions 355 to 776 of the family's 1533-position model. The record is from RNAcentral. Lineage: Bacteria; Pseudomonadati; Gemmatimonadota.
UAGGGAAUCUUCGGCAAUGGACGAAAGUCUGACCGAGCAACGCCGCGGGAGUGAAGAAGGUUUUCGGAUCGUAAAACUCUGUUGUUAGAGAAGAACAAGGACGUUAGUAACUGAACGUCCCCUGACGGUAUCUAACCAGAAAGCCACGGCUAACUACGUGCCAGCAGCCGCGGUAAUACGUAGGUGGCAAGCGUUGUCCGGAUUUAUUGGGCGUAAAGCGAGCGCAGGCGGUUUCUUAAGUCUGAUGGGAAAGCCCCCGGCUCAACCGGGGAGGGUCAUUGGAAACUGGGAGACUUGAGUGCAGAAGAGGGGAGUGGAAUUCCAUGUGUAGCGGUGAAAUGCAUAUAUAUAUGGAGGAACACCAGUGGCGAAGGCGGCUCUCUGGUCUGUAACUGACGCUGGGGCUCGAAAGCGUGGGGAGCAAACAGG